This 253-nucleotide ribosomal RNA is filed under the name uncultured bacterium. Its description in RNAcentral is "partial 16S ribosomal RNA". It matches the Rfam family "Bacterial small subunit ribosomal RNA", at positions 524 to 776 of the family's 1533-position model. The record is from RNAcentral.
UACAGAGGGUGCAAGCGUUAAUCGGAAUUACUGGGCGUAAAGCGCGCGUAGGUGGUUCGUUAAGUUGGAUGUGAAAUCCCCGGGCUCAACCUGGGAACUGCAUUCAAAACUGUCGAGCUAGAGUAUGGUAGAGGGUGGUGGAAUUUCCUGUGUAGCGGUGAAAUGCGUAGAUAUAGGAAGGAACAUCAGUGGCGAAAGCGACUUCCUGGACCAAUACUGACGCUCAUGUGCGAAAGCGUGGGGAGCAAACAGG